GGCUUUGCAGCUCAGCUGGUAGAGCACUUGCCGCGUUGAGGCAUGGUGUUUCUGUCGCUGGUUCGAAACCAGCCAAAGUCC
Molecule: transfer RNA, 81 nt
Filed under: Paragonimus skrjabini miyazakii
Lineage: Eukaryota; Metazoa; Platyhelminthes; Trematoda; Plagiorchiida; Troglotrematidae
Description: Paragonimus miyazakii tRNA-Asn
Rfam family: tRNA
About the family: Transfer RNA (tRNA) molecules are approximately 80 nucleotides in length.
Source: RNAcentral